AGGGAGAUAGUUUAAUGGCAAAAUGGUGUUUUGGUAAAGCCUGUGGGCUUUAUUAAAGCAAUGAUGUGAGUUCAAUUCUUACUCUCCCUG
This 90-nucleotide transfer RNA is filed under the name Bacteriophage sp. RNAcentral describes it as "tRNA-Thr". It matches the Rfam family "tRNA". Rfam says of the family: Transfer RNA (tRNA) molecules are approximately 80 nucleotides in length. Their secondary structure includes four short double-helical elements and three loops (D, anti-codon, and T loops). Further hydrogen bonds mediate the characteristic L-shaped molecular structure. tRNAs have two regions of fundamental functional importance: the anti-codon, which is responsible for specific mRNA codon recognition, and the 3' end, to which the tRNAs corresponding amino acid is attached (by aminoacyl-tRNA synthetases). tRNAs cope with the degeneracy of the genetic code in two manners: having more than one tRNA (with a specific anti-codon) for a particular amino acid; and 'wobble' base-pairing, i.e. permitting non-standard base-pairing at the 3rd anti-codon position. The record is from RNAcentral.